RNAcentral lists this ribosomal RNA (253 nucleotides) under uncultured bacterium. Its description in RNAcentral is "partial 16S ribosomal RNA". It matches the Rfam family "Bacterial small subunit ribosomal RNA", at positions 524 to 776 of the family's 1533-position model. The record is from RNAcentral.
UACGUAGGGUGCAAGCGUUGCCCGGAAUUACUGGGCGUAAAGAGUUCGUAGGCGGUUUGUCGCGUCGUUUGUGAAAACUCACAGCUCAACUGUGAGCCUGCAGGCGAUACGGGCAGACUUGAGUACUGCAGGGGAGACUGGAAUUCCUGGUGUAGCGGUGAAAUGCGCAGAUAUCAGGAGGAACACCGGUGGCGAAGGCGGGUCUCUGGGCAGUAACUGACGCUGAGGAACGAAAGCGUGGGUAGCAAACAGG